Molecule: ribosomal RNA, 120 nt
Filed under: uncultured bacterium
Lineage: Bacteria
Description: partial 16S ribosomal RNA
Rfam family: Bacterial small subunit ribosomal RNA
Source: RNAcentral
CACGCCCUAAACUAUGAAUGUUAGUCGUCGGGGGGCUUGUCUUCUCGGUGAUGCAGCUAACGCAUUAAACAUUCCGCCUGGGGAGUACGGUCGCAAGAUUAAAACUCAAAGGAAUAGACG